UGGGGAAUUUUGGACAAUGGGCGCAAGCCUGAUCCAGCCAUGCCGCGUGCAGGAUGAAGGCCUUCGGGUUGUAAACUGCUUUUGUACGGAACGAAAAGGUUUGGCCUAAUAAGUUGAACUCAUGACGGUACCGUAAGAAUAAGCACCGGCUAACUACGUGCCAGCAGCCGCGGUAAUACGUAGGGUGCGAGCGUUAAUCGGAAUUACUGGGCGUAAAGCGUGCGCAGGCGGUUAUGUAAGACAGAUGUGAAAUCCCCGGGCUCAACCUGGGAACUGCAUUAGUGACUGCAUAGCUGGAGUACGGCAGAGGGGGAUGGAAUUCCGCGUGUAGCAGUGAAAUGCGUAGAUAUGCGGAGGAACACCGAUGGCGAAGGCAAUCCCCUGGGCCUGUACUGACGCUCAUGCACGAAAGCGUGGGGAGCAAACAGG
This 429-nucleotide ribosomal RNA is filed under the name uncultured bacterium. Its description in RNAcentral is "bacterial SSU rRNA". It matches the Rfam family "Bacterial small subunit ribosomal RNA", at positions 355 to 776 of the family's 1533-position model. The record is from RNAcentral.